RNAcentral lists this ribosomal RNA (1336 nucleotides) under Occidozyga laevis. RNAcentral's name for it is "partial 16S large subunit ribosomal RNA". It matches the Rfam family "Bacterial large subunit ribosomal RNA", at positions 150 to 2529 of the family's 2925-position model. Lineage: Eukaryota; Metazoa; Chordata; Amphibia; Anura; Dicroglossidae. The record is from RNAcentral.
GCUAACUAUCAAGCCUAUAAAUUAAUAAAUAAACCUGACUUCAACUAAUGUAAAAUAAAACAUUUUAUUGUUUAAGUAAAGGCGAUUGAAAAACCACUAAGAGCUUCAACUUUAGUACCGCAAGGGAAAGAUGAAAUAUAAGUGAAAUAAAAUAAAGCACAGAAUAGUAGAGAUUAAAACUCGUACCUUUUGCAUCAUGGUCUAGCAAGUCAUUAUCAAGCAUAGGGACACUCAAGUUUGAUUUCCCGAAACUAGGCGAGCUACUUCAGAAUAGCAUUUAGAGCCAACCCGUCUCUGUUGCAAAAGAGUGGGAAAAUUUUCAAGUAGUAGUGACAAGCCUAUCGAGCCUAGAGAUAGCUGGUUAUUCAAGAAAAGAAUUUUAGUUCUACCUUAAGUUUUUAUAUGAAUAUAAACAUAACACCAUACUUAAGAGCUACUCAAAUAAGGCACAGCUUAUUUGAAAAAGGAUACAACCUAAACUUUAGGGUAAAAUAUUGUAAAACUUAAUAAAGUAGGCCUAAAAGCAGCCAUCUUUCAAAAAGCGUUAAAGCUUUGCUUUUAAUUUUUAAAAUUCAAUUUAAUAUUAUCAACCCAUCAUCAGUAUUGAAUAAGUUCAUAAAUUAUGAAAAAUAUUAUGCUAGAACUAGUAACAAGAAAAUGAAUUUCUCCAAAAUGUAAACAUAAACCAAAAUGGACAGCCCAUUGGUGAUUAACGACUUUGUGCUUAUUAUAGUAAAACAACUAGAAAACUCUAUAUUUUAUGCCGUUAACCUUACACAAGAACUCUUCUGGAAAGAUUAAAAGGAAAAGAAGGAACUCGGCAAAUUUUAACCCCGCCUGUUUACCAAAAACAUCGCCUUUUGCACAAAUAUAAAAGGUCCAGCCUGCCCAGUGUUUUUAAUCAACGGCCGCGUGAUUUAAGCGCGCUAAGGUAGCAUAAUAAUUUGUUCUUUAAAUAAGGACUUGUAUCAAUGGCAUCACGAGGGUUAUACUGUCUCCUCUCCCCAAUCAGUGAAACUAAUCUCCCUGUGAAAAAGCAGGGCUAAGACUAUAAGACGAGAAGACCCCAUGGAGCUUAAAAUACAGCAGCAACUAUAAUAAUAAUAUCAAUACAAUUUUUAGCCAUGUAUGCCAAUUUUAGGUUGGGGUGACCAUGGAGCAAAACAAAGCCUCCACGACGAAAAGAGUAUACACCCUUAUCCAAGAGAUACCCCUCUAAGAAUUAUCAAAAUAACGUCCAAUGAUCCGACUAUCGACCAACGGACCAAGUUACCCUGGGGAUAACAGCGCAAUCCACUCUGAAAGCUCCUAUCGACGAGUGGGCUUACGACCUCGA